UGGUAAAAGUGUUUUAAUUAUUUGAGUUUAGAUAGAGUUUUAGAUACAAAAAUGAAUAUGAUAAAGCAACUAGAGUUCCAUAUAGUGACUAGAGCCAAGGAGAAUUAUUGGGGAUAUUAUAUAUAUACAUGCAUGACAAACAAUAUGAAUUCUUAUUAGCUCUUCUGGAUGAAAACCAAAACUAAAACCAUAUUGGCUUAUGCCUAAAGGAAACAAGCUCUAUUGAUUAUGUUGUGUGCUCUAGCAAACAUUUAGGAGUUGACCUAGAUAAGUAUCGAAUUAGAGGAUAGAUGAUCAUUUGAGGAAGAGACUUAAUUAAUGGCCAUUGGAUAGAUAAAGUCAUGCGAGCUUAUGUCUAAAGUGGACAUAUAUGUUAUAUCAUUGUGAAGAUAGUGGAGAGUCAUUGUCCCUUAACAAGAUGGGUAGGAGUACAAACAAAAGAUCUACCAUGCUUAAAAAAAGAAGAGAUUAAUUAUAUAUAAUUUAGAACAAUAAAUUCCAUCAAUAUGAUGUUUUUUAAUGAUUCCAAAUCCAAGAAGGCUUAAGCUAAUUAAAAAUAGACGAUAUCGUACCAUUGUAGAAGUCCCUUGUUUUUGUCACUUUAUUAGAGUUGAUGAUUUAAACCUAGGAACUAGAACACAAAUCUUCAUAUUUUGAAUAGAGAAAACUAGUGAGCCUCAUUUCUUCGAAGGUGUCUUCUACUCACCUUAAAAAAAGAGGAAGCGGAAUUAUCUGUUCUCUUUUGGAUAUUAACUUUAGAAUUAAGAAUUGUUUGUGCUUUAGAAUGAAAGAGCAAGCUCUCAUUGUUAGGAGUGGAUAGAUAUGUUUGGAGAGAGCUUCAAGCCUCUUACUUUGUUCGAGGAGAGGAUUGUUAGGUAGAUAUAUAGAAAAGGUCUUACAUUCGACAGACAAAAAAAAGAGAGGAUCUAUAUGAUAUAUAUGAGUGAUCGAGAACAAGAAUCUCUAUCGACAUGAUGUGUUUUAGGUAGUUUAAAAAACAAAAGUCAUGAAGACUUAAAUCAUCCAAAGUGAAUAAUAUAAUGACAUCGUAGAGAUCCUUUAUCCUUUUAUCAAUAAGCUUUUAAAAAUAACGACAUCAACUAAAACAUAUAGGAAAUUUGAAUUUUCUCCUUAAAAAAAAGUUGAGGCAGAUGCAUAUGCCCAUGUCCUAGAAAACAAUAGUUGUAAGAAAUUUUGUAAACAUUAAACCCAACGGUACAAUCUUUCUAAAAGUUCUUCUGCUUUAAAGAUUUAUAUAUAUCUAGAAAUAUAGUUUUAAUGGCUUUCAUAAUCCAAUAAUGUCAAGCUAAUUAAUAUUUCCUAUUUCAAUUACUUCUUAAUUAGAAUAAGAAAAGAACUAAUUUUAGAUCACAUACCAAUUAAUAGGUCCAAAAUGUUGAAAGCAAAAUUUCUGUUGUUGAGUUUAUUUAUUUAAAGGUUUUCAUUUUUAGAAAACAUAGACUAAAACAAUUAAUGACCACAAAUCUGUCAACCAUUAAUCUUAAUGAUGAAACUUCUUCUAAUGCAAUAGCAAUAAGGCAACUAACACUGAAACAAAAAAGGUAAAUCAAAUCUUUAAUCUCACAACAACCAUUUCUAAAUAUUAUGUUAAUUAGAUUAGAUUACACAAAAAAAAAUCUGAUAAUUAACAUUUAAUUCUAUCAACAUGCACUUAUUAAUUCUGUUUAAAUGAACUUUACCCAAAGUCUCCACUGUUGAAGAAUCUUAUGUUAAUGGUUAAGAAGGCUUUUAUAAUCUAAACCAGAAAACUAGAAUAUCCUAAGAAACUUAAAAUAAAAAAGAACACAAAUCCAAAUUUGUCACAGAAAAUAAAAAUACUUAUAAUUUAUACUUUAAUAAGACUUCAUUAAUUUUUUUAAAAAAGAACUUAAAAAUAAUAGAUCGACAUGUCAUUUUGGUUUGUAUUAUCAAUCUCGAAGAAUCUCUAUCAAAAUAAGCAUAGUUCAACCUAGAUAAUGUUUAUAAUAUCAAAUUUAGAAGUAGAGAUUCAAUUCUUAGUUGCACCCAAUAUGUGGUAAAAUAACGAAAAAAGAAUUAUCCACAGCAACUUAAAAUUGGUAUGGAAUGAGAGUAGAAAGAAAAGAAAACAGAUGGAUCACUUGCAGGUUAAGCCAUAAAAAAACUUUGAGACAGAAAAAGGAAAUCACUAUUUAGGAACAAAGUUCCCAUGAUGUUCCAUUGAUUCAUACAUAAAUCAAUCAAAGAGACAGAAAAAAGGGGAACACUUAUUUCAACUUUUAUUUUUCUUUUCUUUUUCUUUUUUAUUUUUGAAUGUAGGUGGGUUUUGUUUGUGAAAUAUUGAACAAAAUAGUGCACAGUUCUUAGCUGAGAAAGAAAACAGAUGAAUUGAUAAAAUUAUAUUAAGGUGAAGAAGAAUUAAGACAGCAAAAACACUAUAUAAACGAAGGAAAAUUCACAUGCAAAUAUAUAACACACACACUUAUAUAUCAUAUCAUAUCAAUGUAUAUAUUUUUAUAUUAUAUGGUCAUUCCAUUUCCAUCCAUGCAUGGGGAGCACAAAAUCGCACAGAAUCACAAAAGAGCCAAAAACUAGUAAAAGGUGAGAAUUUAAAUGAAGUAUUUAAUUAAGUCAAUCAUAAAAAUAAAAAUUAAAAAAAAAAAAAAAAGUCCUUUGUUUGAUUUGAGAGAGAGAGAGAGAGAGAGAGAGAGUACGGUUCCAAAAUUCAUACAGUAGCUUCUGAUCUUUGUGAAAAAAAAAAUCUUUGUUUUAAUUACUAAAUUGAUUAUAUAUCCUAUAUAAAAAUUAGGGUUUUUGUUCUUAAUUUGAAUUACGUUAUUUCUAGGGUUUUUGUAUUUGAUUUCCCCCCUUUUGUUCCUUACAACUAACUCGAAAUCGAUAUUAUGAGCUUUUAUUGACUAUUAUUCCCAGGUAUGUAUGUUAUGAAUCAAUUAUUGGUUUGUAAAAUGAAGUCUAUUUUAAAGGCUAAUUAUUAUGGGUAUUUUAAUAAAAUAUAUAGAUAGAUAUAGAUAUGAAAAUUAAAUGGAAAUGGAAAUGGAAAUUUAUUUACCAGGAUAAAUUGAAUCAAGGGAGAUGCUUGAUGGGUUGUUUGCUGUUGGAGUUGGUGUUGUUGUUGUUUGUUGUUGUUGAUAUCAUCAUCGUUGGAUUUCAAUUGAGUUCUUUUUCUCUUCUUUUUCUUGUACGGAAUUCCUCUAGCUUUAGCUUGACACUCCUUAACUUCCCUUAAAUAAACACGAAUUGCUCCAUUUCCGAAAGGGUUUGUUUCAGGCGAUCCGCCGUGUUCUUCAUAGGCAGCUCGAAGACGGCCGAUGAGGGCGUCGAGACUUCCCCAUGCUUGACGGAGUGGGCAGGUACAAGGGGCAGGUGGGUCAGGCUGCCCGAAAAAAACACA
This 3391-nucleotide long non-coding RNA is filed under the name Cucumis sativus (cucumber). Its description in RNAcentral is "long non-coding RNA (CSAT_LNC000332)". The record is from RNAcentral. Lineage: Eukaryota; Viridiplantae; Streptophyta; Magnoliopsida; Cucurbitales; Cucurbitaceae.